This 238-nucleotide long non-coding RNA is filed under the name Salvia miltiorrhiza (redroot sage). Its description in RNAcentral is "long non-coding RNA (SMIL_LNC011020)". Lineage: Eukaryota; Viridiplantae; Streptophyta; Magnoliopsida; Lamiales; Lamiaceae. The record is from RNAcentral.
UUAAUGGGCUGGAUCUUUGAUUAUUAUUAGCUGAUCAUAUUUAAAUUGUUUUGGGAUUGGGAAUAGUUCCAAAUUUGGACCUUUGCGCCACUUUUCCCUAUUAGCUUUUAAUUAGAUUAGUUGUGGGCUUUACGUCAUUUUUGACUAGUUGCCUAAUUAGACUUGUUUUAGUUGCCUUAUUAGACUAAGGUUUUGAUUAUUUUCUUAGUAUAUAUAUUAGUAUUCAGCACACUUUGUU